GUAAGUCUCAGUUCGGAUUGAAGGCUGAAAUUCGCCUUCAUGAAGCCGGAAUUGCUAGUAAUGGCAGGUCAGCAUACUGCCGUGAAUACGUUCCCGGGCCUUGUACACACCGCCCGUCACACCAUGAGAGUUGGGAAUACCCGAAGCUUGUGAGCUAACGUUAAGAGGCAGCAGUCGAAGGUAGAAUCAAUGAUUGGGGUGAAGUCGUAACAAGGUAAC
Molecule: ribosomal RNA, 219 nt
Filed under: uncultured bacterium
Lineage: Bacteria
Description: partial 16S ribosomal RNA
Rfam family: Bacterial small subunit ribosomal RNA
Source: RNAcentral